Molecule: RNA transcript, 2868 nt
Organism: Oncorhynchus nerka (sockeye salmon)
Lineage: Eukaryota; Metazoa; Chordata; Actinopteri; Salmoniformes; Salmonidae
Exons: 4
Source: RefSeq, a predicted model, not a curated record
CUGCAGGGAACAGUCAUAUGAGGCUGAACCACAAAGUGAAAGUAUUUUCUUAGCUUGUGAGAUUUGCCACCUGGACUGGACUAUAGGGAGAUUGGAAUCAAAUUGAGAAAGGCCUUAACAUGGCGUUGGUCUUCAGCUUGUCCACUCUCAUGUUUCUCAUCACUGGGACUGAGACAUCCAAAAGUCUAAGUCAGGGCCCAGAGUUGAAGCCGGUUAUCCAGGUGGACUCUGGGAAGGAUGCAGUCCUAGAGUGCUCUGUGAACAUCAGUGAGAAAUCCCCUGGUUGCAGCUGAACCCAAAAUAUCAGCUUUCCGUGCCACCUGCCAAUGAGAAAGACAACGUUGUGUCCCUGUUGGUCAAAGAAACCCAGCCUGAAGACGAGGGUCCGUAUGAGUGUGUGGUGAACACUGACAGUGGAAUCACAAAUUGUAACUUCAUGCCGAAGGUCACAGGUAACCUCACAGGUCAGCUCACAGUUAACCUCACAGGUCAGCUCACAGGUAACCUCACAGGUCAGCUCACAGGUAACCUCACAGGUCAGCUCACAGGUCAGCUCACAGGUAACCUCACAGGUCAGCUCACAGGUCAGCUCACAGGUCAGCUCAAAGCUUUUGGAGUCCAACGUUUAUAGGUAGGGCCCUGAGUAUUUCCCAGUCAGGAAAAACUAAGGGCUUUACACAGUUUUGAAUUCAAAGUGCCUUCCUCACACCCUAACACUGACCAUUUAGUAUUCUCCUUUUUGCAUCAUGAUUUCCACUGUGCAGAGGAUCCAUCAAGAAUUUGUGCUUUCGUCACAUUAACCUCUAUUAGUAUCCAAUAUAAAUUGACUUACCCUACCAACAUGACCUUAUUGAUUGCAUACCUGAAUGUGACGUGCUUUUCAAUUAUAUUGAUUCUGAUUUUGUGUGUUACAGUACGAGACCAGCACCAGGGUCCUGGAAAUGUUGCGGAUAAACAGGAGAUUCCAAAGAACAGUUACAUGAGUGUGGCUGCUGUAUGUGUGGCAGUAGGCUCUCUUGCCAUUGGACUGCUGCUUCUCAAGCUGUUUCAAGCCAGAAGACUCAGACAAGGUGAGCACCCAGGGUCAUGUCCAUUAGGGCACACUGUUGCAAAAUGCUUCAAGAUGUUAUUCAGAUAGUUCCUCCCCAUUUCAGACUGCUUCUUUCCAUUUCAUGACCCUGCUUUUCACAGUCUCCGCAGAAAGACUGUGUCUGGGAAGAUUAGUUAAGUACUUCCUGUCCUAGCUAAAUGCCAUGAUAUUUUUUUCUUUUAUUUGACCCUUAUUUAACUAGGCAAGUCAGUUAAGAACUAAUUCUAAUUUUCAAUGAUGGCCUAGGAACAGUGGGUUAACUGCCUGUUCAGGGGCAGAACGACAGAUUUGUACCUUGUCAGCUCAGGGGUUUGAACUUGCAACCUUUCAGUUAUUAGUCCAACACUCUAACCACUAGGCUACCACCCCCAAUAGAAUAAGUGGAAUGGAGAACUAACUGCUCAGACAAGAGGACUGAACUUAGUUUUUGAAUUGUUUUAGUUUCUCUAUUGCUGUCCUCCUUCCCAGAUAGGAAUUCAGGAUUUGUUAUUGUAUUGUCAGUGAGUGAUAAAUCACAAACCAUGGUAGAGCACACAGUAUCAACCCUUGUAAAAGGUUGCUUCUGGUUUCUCUUUCCAUAUGAACCCUUGAUACAAGAGGACUCUGUUGUGCCAGAAGGUAUGUUUGAGUAUGUUAUUUGUCUACCUAAUGGAAGAGGAUUCCUGUCCAAACUAUCAAAGUGUAUCAAAUGUCUGUAAAAUGCACUUUAUAAAAUGUCUCACCAACCACCAGGAGGCCCAGCACAAGAACACUAGGCUACCCUGGGGCGGCAGGGUAGGAAUUUGUUCUUAACUGACUUGCCUAGUUAAAUAGAAAAAAUAAGUGUUCCUAUUGUCCCCUAUGGAACCAGAGCCUCAGGAUACAGCCGUCCCAGCAGAGCACAACCCAAGCACCAGGACAGGACCGUUUCCGUAAGCGACAGAUGUAUUAUCAGGGGUGCCAUGUCUGCUCUGUCUCUCACGUCACAUCGCUAACUGAAUGUGAAUGCUUUGACUGGAGGAGGGAGCAAUCUGGCUCAACACUAUUCUGUUCCCCCUCUGCAGGAGAAAUGGAGUGCACGCAUUGUCCUGCUACCAAGCUAAUUGUUAGCAGCAUUGUCUGUAGUUGUUAAUCACACCAGACUAUUCUUUCAUAAUUGUUUUAUAUAUUGUAACUAAAACUGAAACAAAUGCACAUAUUUAGUGGACAUUGAUUUGACAGUGAAGACACUCGUGUGAUACAGUAGCAGUGUGUGAAAUUGAUCUUGACAGAACACAUUUACUUUGUGCAUCACAAUUUGAAUAAGUAAUUUAUUCAGAAGCCAAUAUUGUGUUUUAGUUCAUUUGAGAGUUGCUUUAGUUGACAAAUGCCAUGUUUUUUAUUGUUACAAAGUGGGAUUCAUAUGUAUUUAAUUGUCAUUUUUUUUGUAAACAAUCUACAUAAUAUACUCUGUCAAAGUGGAAGAAAAAAUAACACAAAAAAAGUGUAGCGACCCGAACAGCUGUGUUAUGUAUUAUGCUGUUGGUUGUGUUGUACUUACCAGUACGCAGUGUUCGCAGGGUCCCACAUGCCAGUCAAUCUGCUAUUGUGUCCUUUACCAUUUGUACAUUGUUAAACAAAACACUGUGUAUAUAUAUAUAUAUAAUAUGACAUUUGUAAUGUCUUUAUUGUUUUGAAACUUCUGUAUGUGUGAUGUUUACUGUUAAUUUUUAUUGUUUAUUUCACUUUAUAUAUGAUCUGCCUCACUUGCUUUGGCAAUGUUAACACGUUUCCCAUGCCAAUAAAGCCCUUGAAUUGAA